AUUGAACGCUGGCGGCAGGCCUAACACAUGCAAGUCGAACGGUAGCACAGAGGAGCUUGCUCCUUGGGUGACGAGUGGCGGACGGGUGAGUAAUGUCUGGGAAACUGCCCGAUGGAGGGGGAUAACUACUGGAAACGGUAGCUAAUACCGCAUAACGUCGCAAGACCAAAGAGGGGGACCUUCGGGCCUCUUGCCAUCGGAUGUGCCCAGAUGGGAUUAGCUAGUAAGUGGGGUAACGGCUCACCUAGGCGACGAUCCCUAGCUGGUCUGAGAGGAUGACCAGCCACACUGGAACGGAGACACGGUCCAGACUCCUACGGGAGGCAGCAGUGGGGAAUAUUGCACAAUGGGCGCAAGCCUGAUGCAGCCAUGCCGCGUGUAUGAAGAAGGCCUUCGCGUUGUAAAGUACUUUCAGCGAGGAGGAAGGUGUUGAGGUUAAUAACCUCAGCAAUUGACGUUACUCGCAGAAGAAGCACCGGCUAACUCCGUGCCAGCAGCCGCCGUAA
This 506-nucleotide ribosomal RNA is filed under the name uncultured bacterium. Its description in RNAcentral is "partial 16S ribosomal RNA". It matches the Rfam family "Bacterial small subunit ribosomal RNA", at positions 30 to 523 of the family's 1533-position model. The record is from RNAcentral.